CUCAGGAAGCCCAGCACCACCAGAACGGUGCCAUAGAUAGCCAGAAAAGGGGCGGACAUCAUGGCGUAGCGGCGUCGGUCUCGCAUCAUCCAAAUUAUACAAGACCACACCAGCAGGGCAAACGUCAGCCAGUUGUUGUUACCUCCUGCUUAUCUCCUGAGAUGUAGAUGACCCUGGAGAAGCUUGGAGGAGCCUCUGGACUUUCUGCUGGACUUUCAGACUCCUCACCAUCAACAGUAUCCUGAGAAACACAACUGCAAUUAAGAGUUUGUCAUACAUCUUCUGGUGGCACAAGCUGCUGGGACAGGGGCAGCUGGUAGAGGUAUAGAGCCAGCAGGUGUCCUCCACUGAAGAUGGCCAUCAUCACACACAAGGAGCUGAAGAGUAGCAGGCUGAUGGAGCGGCUGAACACCCACCACCAAACCAGCCCGAGAAACACCCCAAAAUAUACACCUGAGUCUAACAGAUGGAAGGCUGCUCCUCAACUCCUCAAAGAUUUUGACUGAUUUGGCCUCAAGCUCUAAGGAGAGCACCAGG
Long non-coding RNA from Siniperca chuatsi (mandarin fish), 537 nucleotides. RefSeq lists it as uncharacterized. NCBI's taxonomy places the organism in Eukaryota, Metazoa, Chordata, Actinopteri, Centrarchiformes, Sinipercidae. The transcript has 4 exons. The record is from RefSeq and is a predicted model, not a curated record.